This 237-nucleotide unclassified non-coding RNA is filed under the name Leohumicola verrucosa. RNAcentral's name for it is "partial contains 5.8S ribosomal RNA, internal transcribed spacer 2, and large subunit ribosomal RNA". Lineage: Eukaryota; Fungi; Ascomycota; Leotiomycetes. The record is from RNAcentral.
CGCACAUUGCGCCCCUUGGUAUUCCGGGGGGCAUGCCUGUUCGAGCGUCAUUAUACCCCUCAAGCUCAGCUUGGUGUUGGGGCGUACCGUCCGCGGUAGCUCUUAAAAUCAGUGGCGGUGCCGCCUGGCCCUAAGCGUAGUAAUAAUCCUCGCUACAGGGUCCCGGUGGAUGCUUGCCAGUAACCCCAAUUUUUUAUGGUUGACCUCGGAUCAGGUAGGGAUACCCGCUGAACUUAA